Nycticebus coucang (slow loris) is the source of this 376-nucleotide long non-coding RNA. RefSeq lists it as uncharacterized. The record is from RefSeq and is a predicted model, not a curated record. The transcript has 3 exons. Lineage: Eukaryota; Metazoa; Chordata; Mammalia; Primates; Lorisidae.
UUUUUGUUUUCAAAGAGCGGUACUUAUCCAGAACUCUUGGUCCCAUACGGGCACGCCCCUCCAAUGUAGUAGGCAAAGCACCACCCUAACUUUGCCUCAUAGAUCUGGGACUACACAUUAUAAAAUAAAACAUGAAAGUAUACUCCAAUCAGUCCUUACUGCUUACUGGACAGCAAUUCAGGCCAUCCUAUUCUGCUUUUACCAGUUGUAUAAAACAUUGAUGAGACUUCGAAGUUCAGAAAGAGUUUAUACUCAGAAGACCAAAAGUCACAAUAUAACAAAGACAUGUGUACCAGAAUGUUUACUGCAGCCCAAUUCAUAAUUGCUAAGUCAUGGAAGAAGCCCAAGUGCCCAUUGACCCACGAAUGGUUUAGCA